AAUCAACGCUGGCGGCGUGCCUAACACAUGCAAGUCGAACGCGAAAGCCCCUUCGGGGGUAAGUAGAGUGGCGUCCGGGUGGGUAACACGUAGGUAAUCUGCCUUCGGGUGGGAAUAACCAGUCGAAGAUUGGCUAAUACCGCAUAAUGCAGCGGCACCUAAUGGUGAUUAGUUGUUAAAGCGGGGGGAUCGUAAGACCUCGCGCCUGAAGAGGAGCCCUGCGGCAGAUUAGCUAGNGGUGAGGUAAUGGCUCACCAAGGCUUCGAUCUGUAGCUGGUCUGAGAGGACGGCCAGCCACACUGGCACUGACAC
Molecule: ribosomal RNA, 312 nt
Filed under: uncultured bacterium
Lineage: Bacteria
Description: bacterial SSU rRNA
Rfam family: Bacterial small subunit ribosomal RNA
Source: RNAcentral